AGUGAACGCUGGCGGUAGGCCUAACACAUGCAAGUCGAACGGCAGCACAGUAAGAGCUUGCUCUUACGGGUGGCGAGUGGCGGACGGGUGAGGAAUACAUCGGAAUCUACUUUUUCGUGGGGGAUAACGUAGGGAAACUUACGCUAAUACCGCAUACGACCUACGGGUGAAAGCAGGGGAUCUUCGGACCUUGCGCGAUUGAAUGAGCCGAUGUCGGAUUAGCUAGUUGGCGGGGUAAAGGCCCACCAAGGCGACGAUCCGUAGCUGGUCUGAGAGGAUGAUCAGACACACUGGAAGUGAGAGAGGGUCCAGACUCCUACAGGAAGCCAGAGAGGGGAAUAUUGGACAAGGGGCGCGAGUCUGAUCCAGCCAUACCGAGUAGGAGAAGAAGGCCUACGGUUUGUAAAGCGCUUUUGUAGGGAAAGAAAAGAAGAAGGUUAAUACCCCGAUGUUCUGACAGUGCCCGAAGAAUAAGCACCGGCUACCUUCGUG
RNAcentral lists this ribosomal RNA (492 nucleotides) under uncultured bacterium. RNAcentral describes it as "partial 16S ribosomal RNA". It matches the Rfam family "Bacterial small subunit ribosomal RNA", at positions 29 to 507 of the family's 1533-position model. The record is from RNAcentral.